UACGUAGGGUGCGAGCGUUGUCCGGAAUUAUUGGGCGUAAAGGGCUCGUAGGCGGUCUGUUGCGUCAGGAGUGAAAACUCGGGGCUUAACCCCGAGCCUGCUUCUGAUACGGGCAGACUAGAGGUAUGCAGGGGAGAACGGAAUUCCUGGUGUAGCGGUGAAAUGCGCAGAUAUCAGGAGGAACACCAGUGGCGAAGGCGACUACCUGGCCUGUUCUUGACGCUGAGGCGCGAAAGCUAGGGGAGCAAACGGG
Molecule: ribosomal RNA, 253 nt
Filed under: uncultured bacterium
Lineage: Bacteria
Description: partial 16S ribosomal RNA
Rfam family: Bacterial small subunit ribosomal RNA
Source: RNAcentral